Molecule: ribosomal RNA, 912 nt
Filed under: Staphylococcus sp. C10I8
Lineage: Bacteria; Bacillati; Bacillota; Bacilli; Caryophanales; Staphylococcaceae
Description: bacterial SSU rRNA
Rfam family: Bacterial small subunit ribosomal RNA
Source: RNAcentral
GGCGGACGGGUGAGUAACACGUGGGUAACCUACCUAUAAGACUGGAAUAACUCCGGGAAACCGGGGCUAAUGCCGGAUAACAUGUUGAACCGCAUGGUUCUACAGUGAAAGACGGUCUUGCUGUCACUUAUAGAUGGACCCGCGCCGUAUUAGCUAGUUGGUGGGGUAACGGCCUACCAAGGCGACGAUACGUAGCCGACCUGAGAGGGUGAUCGGCCACACUGGAACUGAGACACGGUCCAGACUCCUACGGGAGGCAGCAGUAGGGAAUCUUCCGCAAUGGGCGAAAGCCUGACGGAGCAACGCCGCGUGAGUGAUGAAGGUCUUCGGAUCGUAAAGCUCUGUUGUUAGGGAAGAACAAAUGUGUAAGUAACUGUGCACAUCUUGACGGUACCUAACCAGAAAGCCACGGCUAACUACGUGCCAGCAGCCGCGGUAAUACGUAGGUGGCAAGCGUUAUCCGGAAUUAUUGGGCGUAAAGCGCGCGUAGGCGGUUUUUUAAGUCUGAUGUGAAAGCCCACGGCUCAACCGUGGAGGGUCAUUGGAAACUGGAAAACUUGAGUGCAGAAGAGGAGAGUGGAAUUCCAUGUGUAGCGGUGAAAUGCGCAGAGAUAUGGAGAGAACACCAGUGGCGAAGGCGGCUUUCUGGUCUGCAACUGACGCUGAUGUGCGAAAGCGUGGGGAUCAAACAGAGAUUAGAUACCCUGGUAGUCCACGCCGUAAACGAUGAGUGCUAAGUGUUAGGGGGGUUUCCGCCCCUUAGUGCUGCAGCUAACACAUUAAGCACUCCGCCUGGGGAGUACGGUCGCAAGACUGAAACUCAAAGGAAUUGACGGGGACCCGCACACAGCGGUGGAGCAUGUGGUUUAAUUCGAAGCAACGCGAAGAACCUUACCACAUCUUGACAUCCCC